Molecule: long non-coding RNA, 1353 nt
Filed under: Homo sapiens (human)
Lineage: Eukaryota; Metazoa; Chordata; Mammalia; Primates; Hominidae
Description: HSALNT0409138
Source: RNAcentral
GUGGUGUGAUCAUGGCUCACUGCAACCUCGACCUCCUGGGCUCAAGUGAUCCUCCCACCACAGCCUCCCAAGUACUGGGACAACAGAUGUGCCACCACCACACUUGAUUAAUUUUUUUUUCUUUUUUGGUAGAGGUGAGGUCUCACUAUGUUGUCCAGACUGGUCUUGAACUCCUGGGCUCAAGUGGUGAUCCACUGCCUUGGCCUCACAAAGUGCUAGGAUUACAGGAGUGAGUCACUGCACCUGGCCUCACCCCCACAUUGUAUCAGUGAAGGUGUGUCUGGAGUUGGUUCCUUCCAGUGGGUUCUUGGUCUCGCUGACUUCAAGAAUGAAGCCGCGGACCUUCGCGGUGAGUGUUACAGCUCUUAAAGGUGGCACAGACCCAAAGUGUGAGCAGCAGCAAGAUGUAUUGUGAAGAGUGAAAGAACAAAGCUUCCACAGCAUGGAAGAGGACCCAAGCAGGUUGCCGUUGCUUGUGGGGGGCGGGGGGGGGCCAGCUUUUAUUCCCUUAUUUGUCCCCUCCCAUGUCCUGCUGAUUAGUCCAUUUUACAGAGUGCUGAUUGGUCCAUUUUACAGAGUGCUGAUUGGUCCAUUUACAAUCCUCUAGCUAGACACAGAAAACUGGUGCGUUUUUACAGACUGCUGAUUGGUGCAUUUACAAUCCUUUAGCUAGACACAGAGCGCUGAUUGGUGUGUUUACAAUCCUCUAGCUAGACAGAAAAGUUCUCCAAGUCCCCACAUCACCCAGGAAGUCUAGCUGGCUUCACCUCUCAAAGGUUCAGGGUAGGAAGCAGAAAUUCCUCCCGUGAUCAUGAACAGAAAGGGAUUCUGUAGAAGGGAUUAGAUGCUUACCUGACCAUUGGAUGGGCCAAAGGAGUGGACUCUGGGCUAGGUGUUGAUAACACCAGUGCAGACCUGGCUCCUCAAGGGAGCUGCUACCUCUGCCACCAUCCACAAGAUGGGGGAUUGGGAGGCGGCCAGUGUAACCUUUGAGUUCAAAAAGACACCACCAAAGUCAUGACCUGAGGAUCAGCAAGCUGGGACCAGGAAGCCAUUGCUGCCACAAGUGCCCCUCAACAACCAAGAAGUGAAGGUGCCACAUCGUGAGGACACUCAACAGCCCUAUGGAGGAGCUCACAUGGAGAGAAACAAAGGUCUUCCGCCAACAACCAUGAGUGUGCCAUUUUGAAAAGGAUCCUCCAGCCCCAGCCAAGCCUUUGCAUGACUGCAGUCAUGGCCAGAAUCCCACUGCAGCCUCACAAGAGCCUUUGAGCUAGAACAAUCCAGCUAAGCCACUCCUGAAUCCUGACCCACAGAGAUUAUGAGAUAAUAAAUGGUUACUGUCAUUUUGAA